RNAcentral lists this ribosomal RNA (394 nucleotides) under uncultured bacterium. RNAcentral's name for it is "bacterial SSU rRNA". It matches the Rfam family "Bacterial small subunit ribosomal RNA", at positions 30 to 422 of the family's 1533-position model. The record is from RNAcentral.
AUUGAACGCUGGCGGCAUGCCUUACACAUGCAAGUCGAACGGCAGCACGGGAGCAAUCCUGGUGGCGAGUGGCGAACGGGUGAGUAAUAUAUCGGAACGUGCCCGGUCGUGGGGGAUAACGUAGCGAAAGUUACGCUAAUACCGCAUACGAUCUAAGGAUGAAAGCGGGGGACUCGCAAGAGCCUCGCGCGAUUGGAGCGGCCGAUAUCAGAUUAGGUAGUUGGUGGGGUAAAGGCUCACCAAGCCAACGAUCUGUAGCUGGUCUGAGAGGACGACCAGCCACACUGGAACUGAGACACGGUCCAGACUCCUACGGGAGGCAGCAGUGGGGAAUUUUGGACAAUGGACGCAAGUCUGAUCCAGCCAUUCCGCGUGCAGGAUGAAGGCCCUCGGU